AUUGAACGCUGGCGGCAUGCCUUACACAUGCAAGUCGAACGGCAGCACGGGAGCUUGCUCCUGGUGGCAAGUGGCGAACGGGUGAGUAAUACAUCGGAACGUACCCUGAAGUGGGGGAUAACGUAGCGAAAGUUACGCUAAUACCGCAUAUUCUGUGAGCAGGAAAGAGGGGGAUCGCAAGACCUCUUGCUUUAGGAGCGGCCGAUGUCGGAUUAGCUAGUUGGUGAGGUAAAGGCUCACCAAGGCGACGAUCCGUAGCGGGUCUGAGAGGAUGAUCCGCCACACUGGGACUGAGACACGGCCCAGACUCCUACGGGAGGCAGCAGUGGGGAAUUUUGGACAAUGGGCGCAAGCCUGAUCCAGCCAUGCCGCGUGAGUGAAGAAGGCCUCGGUUGU
Molecule: ribosomal RNA, 396 nt
Filed under: uncultured bacterium
Lineage: Bacteria
Description: bacterial SSU rRNA
Rfam family: Bacterial small subunit ribosomal RNA
Source: RNAcentral